This 253-nucleotide ribosomal RNA is filed under the name uncultured bacterium. RNAcentral's name for it is "partial 16S ribosomal RNA". It matches the Rfam family "Bacterial small subunit ribosomal RNA", at positions 524 to 776 of the family's 1533-position model. The record is from RNAcentral.
UACGUAGGGUGCGAGCGUUAAUCGGAAUUAUUGGGCGUAAAGAGCUUGUAGGCGGUUUGUCGCGUCUGCUGUGAAAAUCCGGGGCUCAACCCCGGACUUGCAGUGGGUACGGGCAGGCUAGAGUGUGGUAGGGGAGACUGGAAUUCCUGGUGUAGCGGUGAAAUGCGCAGAUAUCAGGAGGAACACCGAUGGCGAAGGCAGGUCUCUGGGCCACUACUGACGCUGAGAAGCGAAAGCAUGGGGAGCGAACAGG